CAGGUAUCAGGAGUUAAAAUGACAUAGAAAAGUGUUCAAAGUAUGAACUGUGAAAUUAACUCCUUCCACUUGAUACUGAAAGAAGGUAAACUGAAACUCCAAAAGUGAUGACCUGCUCAUUGGCAAGUUACAGGAAAAGCAAGGCAACUAAAUAAGCAUUGUGGUAUGAGGAUUUAGUCAGAUAAACUGUCCAAAAGAGCUAUUUACCUGGAGGCUGUUGUAUUAAAUUAUUGAGUUCUGCACUGUGUGACCCUCACUAAUACCCCAACACUUCUGCAUAUGAAAUGCUUCAAAAGAAGGAACUGCUGUGGCUUAUUUGUGACUGAAGUGAAUUACAUUGGAUAUAAAAGAGUAAUGCAGGGUGCAGAAGGCAGGGCAGCUUGAGCACUCUUACCACACCAAUGGAAAAAACUUCUGGUUUGCAGCAAAAUAUGGCAUCAAGAUUUUUGCUCAUUGGUCAUCUCAUUGUACUGAUACCUCUCUUCAGUGCUGAAGGGUGCGUUAUUUGUGAUUACUUUGUGCUUGUUGGAGAGCCUAUAGCUAUUACUUGCCCAAUAAUUACAUUACCAGUGCUUCACUCUGAUUACAAUUUGACAUGGUAUAAAAAUGGGAGUGCUACAGCAGUGACCACAGAGAGAGAUGCCAGGAUCCACCAGCGAGAGGCCUUGCUUUGGUUUAUUCCUGCUGUGCUGGAAGAUUCUGGACUUUAUGAAUGCAAUGUGAGGAGCCUUAACCAUUCUAACAAAAAAACGAUAAACUUAACAGUUUUUAAGAACGAUAAUGGAUUGUGUUUUAAUGGAAAAAUGAAGUUUGAACAAAAAGUGACGAGCACGAAUAUUGGAAAGAUUAUAUGCCCUGAUCUAGAACAAUUUAAAAAUGAAGAGAAUAAUCAGCCUGAAGUACAUUGGUAUAAGGAGUGUAAACCUGGAUUUCUUGAAGACAAGCGACUUCUUUUGGCAGAGGGUGAAAAUGCUGUCUUGAUUCGUAAUGUAACUGUGCAAGACAGAGGAAACUACACAUGCCAGAUGGUGUACACAUAUAUGGGAAAACAAUUUAAUGUUUCAAGAACCAUAAGUCUGGAGGUUAAAGAAAAACCACUGCAGAUGCAACCAGAGUUUAUUUAUCCAAGGAACAAUACAGUUGCAGUAGAACUUGGCUCUCAUGUAGUUAUGGAGUGUAAUGUAUCAAGUGGCAUAAAUGGCUUGAUUCCAUUCUGGCAAGUUAAUGAUGAGGAUGUUGAUAUCUUUGAUGAAACCUACAGGGAACAGUUUUAUGAAGAGGGCUUGCCUCAUGGACUUGCUGUAUCUGGAACAAAAUUUAACAUUUCAAAAGUGACAGUAAAGGACUAUGCUCAUAAGUUCUUCUGCCACUUCAUAUAUGGUUCUCAACAAUUUACAGCCUACAUCAAAUUAGAAUACCCAGCUCAAAACAUUCAGGGGUACUUAAUUGGAGGAGGAGUUUCCUUGGUAUUUUUAGUGUUUUUUACUCUCUUUAUCUACAAGAUCUUCAAAAUUGAUAUUGUGCUUUGGUAUCGGGACUCCUGCCAUCCUUUCCUGGGGAAAAAAGUUUCAGAUGAGAAGAUCUAUGAUGCUUAUGUUCUGUAUCCAAAGAACAGAGCAAGCUGCUUGUAUUCAUCAGAUAUUUUUGCCCUGAAGAUACUGCCAGAGGUCUUAGAAAGGCAGUGUGGAUAUAAGCUCUUCAUACUUGGGAGAGAUGAUUUACCAGGAGAAGCUGUGAUCAGCAUUGCUGAUGAAAAGAUCCGUCAAAGUAGGAGAGUGAUAAUUGUUUUAGUACCAGAGCCCUCCUGUUACAACAUUCUGGAAGAUGAGUCUGAAAAGCAGCUAGCCAUGCAUAGUGCUCUUAUCCAAGAUGGCAUUAAAGUAAUUCUCAUUGAACUUGAAAAAAUACAAGAUUAUGCAACCAUGCCAGAAUCCAUCAGAUAUGUUAAGCAAAAGCACGGAGUUAUCCGAUGGAAAGGGGACUUUUCAGAAAGGUCCCACUCAGCAAGAACCAGGUUUUGGAAGAAAGUGCGCUACCAGAUGCCAUCCAGAAAAAGUGGCUCUUUAUCACAAUUGCAUUUGUUAACAAAAGACUUGAAUGUUCCUUAAAUAACAAAUGAGGAAUGACACUUAAUGACUGAUGCAGUUCACACAGUUGGUGAUGGAUUCACUGAAGGUCUCAUGUAUCUGUUUUGUGCAAUCUCAUCCAGAUUUACUGGAGUGAAGCUCCUUUAUCUUCAAACAAGCAACUUGCUUUUGUGUCAAACUCCAUCACUUUCCAAGCUCUGAUUGAAGGCUGUUGCUAAUACAGUGUUGGGCAGAAAUUUUCCCUCUGGUAUCUCCACUUGUUUGUCUGAAAAAAAUUUUGUUCUGCAACCUUCAGAAUUCAUCUAUUCAUUUACACACUGCAGUGUUGGCUUUUCUUCUUUCAUGGCUCAAGCAAUUUUCUUAUGCCUCCAUACUCAACCAAACAAAACUGCUCUGGCUGAUAAGUGACAAAACCAGUGGAACUCAGUCAUGCAGGCCAGCCAACAGAGUUCCAGCGACUUCAAUCCUUCUAAUUACUUCUGCUGACUGGAGCCUAUUGAAAGGAGAACUGCUACUUGUUAUUCCCAACUCUAGGAAUGGAAGGUUAUUUUACUGAGCCAAAAUAGUGGUUUUUAAAAAAUACUUGUUCCUCUUGAUAUAUUUAUAAAAAUAAUGCUAAAGUUUUCAUGUGUGUUAUGUAAAGGCACUUUGAGGAAGAGUUCAUUUUAAAAUUUAAU
Zonotrichia leucophrys gambelii is the source of this 2764-nucleotide RNA transcript. It is a transcript of the gene named interleukin 1 receptor type 1, with no coding region annotated. NCBI's taxonomy places the organism in Eukaryota, Metazoa, Chordata, Aves, Passeriformes, Passerellidae. The transcript is spliced from 14 exons. The record is from RefSeq and is a predicted model, not a curated record.